AUAGUAUUUUUCAAAAUUUCAAAUGAAAUUAAUGCUGUAAAAUUUUGUGAUACAUAUGUAUAAAAAUGCCACUUUGUUAUAUGCAACACAAUUUGUUUUGUGGGCUUGGUUAAUUUUUCCAGUAGAUGCUGAAAAGGAUGAUGUUUUAUUGAAUGCCCAAAUAUCACCAUAUGAAGUACGAAUCGAAUAUUAUGAUUUAACUGUUAAUGAAAUAAUAUGUAGCGGAUCGAUUAUAUCUCAACAAAUCGUCUUAACAGCAGCGUCUUGCUUUGAUAAUUCAUGGAAUUCUCCUUAUGAUUUGUUCCAAUUAUACGAUCAAUAUAUUAUCAUAGCCGGCAUAACUGAAGAAAGUGAUUAUUAUGACAAUUCUCACAAGUAUCGUAUACAAUCUCUUGUACGACAUCCGGAAUAUAAUAUAUCAUUAUCAGAGAAAUAUAACGAUAUUGCCAUGGUGUUUACAUAUAGUUUUAUACCAUGGAAUACGCCAACUAUCAAAGCUGUGGAUCUUCCCAAUAGCAAAUUAAAGCCAGGCGACAAAUGUUUGAUCAGUUUCUGGAAUGAAGACGCAAUUGAACGCACAUUGGUUAAUAUACCAACACGUCCUUGGAGUCACAGUGAAUGCGCAAAACACAUUCCUAAUAUUAAAAUCACUCAAAUAUGCACUCCUAUAAAAGAUAUGUAUUCUCCGAAUAGAGGUGACCCAUUGGUUUGCUCAAAUGCAUUGCACGGAAUAAUGAGUUUAAAUAGCCAAUCCAAAAUUAAUUUUUCAAUAUGCACUAAUGUGUUUUAUUAUCUCGAUUGGAUCCAAAAGGUUAAUUCAUCUAUGGACAAUUCGGCAUAUUUAAAUAAUUCAGCUUUUGAUAUACAAAGAAGUUAUAAUGUGCAAACCGGAUUCCUAACAACUUUAUCUGCCUUUCUGGUUUGGGUGUAAGUAGAUCGACUUCCAUCCAAAACAAGAUUCUUAAUAUAUAAAAACUUCAAAUUGUCAUCUAUGUACAUUUGUAACUUCUGUGUUAACUUUAACUAAAUAUUACUGAAAAAAAAUGCCCAUGUUAAUUUAAGUAUAAGUAUAUCAAUAAUCAGAUCUGCUUUGGCAUCAUAAAACCAAAACAUGCCUAGCGAAUAUAAUCAAAAAAUUUAAUGUCACAAUAAAAUACUCAAAUUUCUUGUACACAACACAAGUUAAAUAUUUUGAAUACAUGUAAUAAAUUUUUAAAAUUCAUAAAAUAAAAUAAAAUUUAUUCAUACUUAAAGGUUUAACAUAAUAUGAAAUUCAUGGCAGUAUUUAUUUUUUUGACUUGGUUAGUUCCUCCAAGUCCUGCUAUAGUAGGCAAUUCAUAUAGGAUUUUAAAUGGCGUUCCUAUUAAUAUCAGACAAGCCCCUUAUCAAGUAUGGAUGGGUGGACGUGUUAUAAAUGAUCUGGGCUAUGGUCAAGUACAUUGUGGCGGAGCGGUUAUAUCACAACGUGUCGUUUUGACAGCAGAAUCUUGCUUUCUUCCUACAUACUAUGCCCCAAGCGAUAUUGCAUACAAUCAAUAUUUUAUUGUUGCCGGAUGUAAUUAUAGAAAUAAAGAAGACGAAAAUACUCAAAAAUAUCAAAUCCAGCAAGUUGUAAAACAUUCGGAUAUAUAUGUGAAAGACGAUAUUGCUAUCGUCUUGUUAAAUGGCUUUAUACCGUGGGGUUCGCCGACAAUUAAAGCGGUGGCUUUGGCCAAAAGGCCUGUACUAUCAAAUACAUUGUGUAUGGUUAGUGGCUGGGGAAAGGAUGAUAAGUUUUGCCCUCCACCUUUUGUUUUGUCAGGAAUUUCCUUUAAAUUUGAUACAAGCAAAAGUAUUUGUUCAAAGCAACAGCUGGUGUAGCGAAAACUUACCUGAUUUCGAAGUAUCUGAAAUUUGCUCUAACACGACUGAUUAUUCAUCUAGUGAUGCGGGUGGGCCAUUGGUAUGCUCAAAUGAAUUGCACGGCGUGGCCUUAUUCGAUUACAAUAAUCCAAAACGUAUUGGACUAUACGCCAACAUUUCGUAUUACUUCAAUUGGAUACGGGCAGUUAAUUCAUCUUUUAACUAUUCCGAUUAUUCGAACAAUACUAUUUCAGGUUUUGAAACCCGAAACAGUUUCAAUUUACAAGAAACUUGCUUUAUAGUCUUGUGUAUUUUUUUAGUUUGGACUAUGUAAAAACAGAACAAAAUUGAUGGUGUA
Molecule: long non-coding RNA, 2200 nt
Organism: Drosophila willistoni
Lineage: Eukaryota; Metazoa; Arthropoda; Insecta; Diptera; Drosophilidae
Exons: 7
Source: RefSeq, a predicted model, not a curated record